AUUGAACGCUGGCGGCAGGCCUAACACAUGCAAGUCGAGCGGAUGAAGGGAGCUUGCUCCUGGAUUCAGCGGCGGACGGGUGAGUAAUGCCUAGGAAUCUGCCUGGUAGUGGGGGAUAACGUCCGGAAACGGGCGCUAAUACCGCAUACGUCCUGAAGGAGAAAGUGGGGGAUCUUCGGACCUCACGCUAUCAGAUGAGCCUAGGUCGGAUUAGCUAGUUGGUGGGGUAAAGGCCUACCAAGGCGACGAUCCGUAACUGGUCUGAGAGGAUGAUCAGUCACACUGGAACUGAGACACGGUCCAGACUCCUACGGGAGGCAGCAGUGGGGAAUAUUGGACAAUGGGCGAAAGCCUGAUCCAGCCAUGCCGCGUGUGUGAAGAAGGUCUUCGGAUUGUAAAGCACUUUAAGUUGAGAGGAAGGGCAGUAAGUUAAUACCUUGCUGUUUUGACGUUACCAACAGAAUAAGCACCGGCUAACUUCGUG
Molecule: ribosomal RNA, 484 nt
Filed under: uncultured bacterium
Lineage: Bacteria
Description: partial 16S ribosomal RNA
Rfam family: Bacterial small subunit ribosomal RNA
Source: RNAcentral